This 253-nucleotide ribosomal RNA is filed under the name uncultured bacterium. RNAcentral describes it as "partial 16S ribosomal RNA". It matches the Rfam family "Bacterial small subunit ribosomal RNA", at positions 524 to 776 of the family's 1533-position model. The record is from RNAcentral.
UACGUGGGGUGCGAGCGUUGUCCGGAAUUACUGGGCGUAAAGAGCUCGUAGGUGGUUUGUCGCGUUGUCCGUGAAAACUCACAACUCAAUUGUGGGCGUGCGGGCGAUACGGGCAGACUGGAGUACUGCAGGGGAGACUGGAAUUCCUGGUGUAGCGGUGGAAUGCGCAGAUAUCAGGAGGAACACCGGUGGCGAAGGCGGGUCUCUGGGCAGUAACUGACGCUGAGGAGCGAAAGCGUGGGGAGCGAACAGG